CCAUCAUUCUCCACAGGUCCACCUUCCAUUCUUCAUCCAUCAUAAAAAAUCCAUAUAUGGUUCAUCUCAUACCACAUCAUAUCCCUAACAAAUCAAACAAAAAAAGAGUCUUGUUAGACAAUAGGCUUAUAUCUAGAGAGGGUGAAUAGAUCCCAAAUUAAAAUUUUGUUCAAAACUUUGAUUUAGAAAAUUUUAUGGCGCGGAAGCAAGUUUAAAAUAUUUCCCAUAUCCAAAAUUGUCUAACCGAACCUUCUAU
RNAcentral lists this long non-coding RNA (256 nucleotides) under Lathyrus oleraceus (garden pea). RNAcentral describes it as "Pisum sativum (pea) long non-coding RNA (PSAT_LNC027735)". Lineage: Eukaryota; Viridiplantae; Streptophyta; Magnoliopsida; Fabales; Fabaceae. The record is from RNAcentral.